AAGAAGCGAAGCAGUGAUGUGAAGCGAAACUACAAAAAGUAAGUCUCAGUUCGGAUUGAAGGCUGAAAUUCGCCUUCAUGAAGCCGGAAUUGCUAGUAAUGGCAGGUCAGCAUACUGCCGUGAAUACGUUCCCGGGCCUUGUACACACCGCCCGUCACACCAUGGAAGUUGGGGGCACCCGAAGCCAGUGGCCUAACCGCAAGGAGGGAGCUGUCGAAGGUGAAAUCAAUGACUGGGGUGAAGUCGUAACAAGGUACC
RNAcentral lists this ribosomal RNA (258 nucleotides) under uncultured bacterium. RNAcentral's name for it is "partial 16S ribosomal RNA". It matches the Rfam family "Bacterial small subunit ribosomal RNA", at positions 1244 to 1500 of the family's 1533-position model. The record is from RNAcentral.